RNAcentral lists this unclassified non-coding RNA (166 nucleotides) under Pseudolactococcus piscium. Its description in RNAcentral is "Lactococcus piscium T box leader". The record is from RNAcentral. Lineage: Bacteria; Bacillati; Bacillota; Bacilli; Lactobacillales; Streptococcaceae.
UAUAAUUAAGCUAUCGGAUAAGUAAAACGACUCACUGUUUAGAGAGAUUGCGGUUGUUGCAAGCAAUUCUUUGAGUCGUUUGAAAUUCUACCGUGUUUAAAAUUCGUAAAAUAAAUGAGAUACCGUCAGGUAAAGUAGGUGGAACCGUGCGUCAUGCGCCCUACUA